AAGUCGUAACAAGGUUUCCGUAGGUGAACCUGCGGAAGGAUCAUUAUUGAAUGUAUUCAAAGGGGUUGAUGCUGGCUUUGGUAACAAAGUAUGUGCUCACCUUUUUGGCUUACUAUUUUCCCCCCUGUGCACCUUUUGUAGUUCUGAGUUCUCUUGAGUUGGUUAUGGAGUCUAGUAAUUAGAAUGACUUGAUUGUUGUUCUUGUGAAAGACUUUCAAUUCUCGAGUUCGCGGUUCUAUGUAUUAUCACAAACCCCAUUGUAUGUUUUAGAAUGUCUUUUUACUGGUUUUUACGAACCUUUAAAUCAAUACAACUUUUAGCAACGGAUCUCUUGGCUCUC
Molecule: unclassified non-coding RNA, 340 nt
Filed under: air metagenome
Description: partial contains small subunit ribosomal RNA, internal transcribed spacer 1, and 5.8S ribosomal RNA
Rfam family: Eukaryotic small subunit ribosomal RNA (bases 1-46)
Source: RNAcentral